Molecule: ribosomal RNA, 463 nt
Filed under: uncultured bacterium
Lineage: Bacteria
Description: bacterial SSU rRNA
Rfam family: Bacterial small subunit ribosomal RNA
Source: RNAcentral
AACGAACGCUGGCGGCAUGCCUAACACAUGCAAGUCGAACGAGACCUUCGGGUCUAGUGGCGCACGGGUGCGUAACGCGUGGGAACCUGCCCCUUGGUUCGGGAAUAACAGUUAGAAAUGACUGCUAAUACCGGAUGAUGACUUCGGUCCAAAGAUUUAUCGCCGAGGGAUGGGCCCGCGUAGGAUUAGCUAGUUGGUGGGGUAAUGGCCUACCAAGGCGACGAUCCUUAGCUGGUCUGAGAGGAUGAUCAGCCACACUGGGACUGAGACACGGCCCAGACUCCUACGGGAGGCAGCAGUGGGGAAUAUUGGACAAUGGGCGAAAGCCUGAUCCAGCAAUGCCGCGUGAGUGAUGAAGGCCUUAGGGUUGUAAAGCUCUUUUACCCGGGAUGAUAAUGACAGUACCGGGAGGAAUAAGCUCCGGCUAACUCCGUGCCAGCAGCCGCGGUAAUCUGAGUCGGAG